RNAcentral lists this unclassified non-coding RNA (394 nucleotides) under Hevea brasiliensis (rubber tree). The record is from RNAcentral. Lineage: Eukaryota; Viridiplantae; Streptophyta; Magnoliopsida; Malpighiales; Euphorbiaceae.
GAAAAUUUUGUGCUAGAUUUUCAGGGUAAUGAUGCCAGGGAAAAAAUUGAAUCGUCUGGUAUACAUUCUUCCGACCUUGGAAAUAGCCAUAUGUGUAAUAAUAAUGUUGAUGUUCCGGAGAAAUGUAGCCCUUACAUGCCUGAAAAGCGUGCUGCAUAUUGCUCUGAUGGCAAGGGUAGAUUGAGCAAGAAACACGUUUCUGUGCUUAACGAAUAUAAAUCUGCCAAAGAUCCUCCUUUGCAAUUUAAGGAGAAAGACUGGAAUACUGGAUUUAAUACUCAAAGGUUAGAAGAGAACAUAUCGGAUCAACUAGGCAGCAAGGAAGUCCUGAAUUCAAAGAUUGACCCUAAUAAUCUUGAUUCUAGUACUAAAUCUUUCAAAAACAAUCAGAAAG